Molecule: ribosomal RNA, 301 nt
Filed under: uncultured bacterium
Lineage: Bacteria
Description: partial 16S ribosomal RNA
Rfam family: Bacterial small subunit ribosomal RNA
Source: RNAcentral
CAGCCGCCGCGGGAAUACGUAGGUGGCAAGCGCUGUCCGGAAUUAUUGGGCGUAAAGGGAGCGCAGGCGGACAUAUAAGUCCAUCUUAAAAGUGCGGGGCUCAACCCCGUGAGGGGAUGGAAACUGUAUGCCUUGAGUGCAGGAGAGGAAAGCGGAAUUCCCAGUGUAGCGGUGAAAUGCGUAGAUAUUGGGAGGAACACCAUAGGCGAAGGCGGCUUUCUGGACUGCAACUGACGCUGAGGCUCGAAAGCCAGGGGAGCGAACGGGAUUAGAUACCCCCGUAGUCCCUGUCUCUUAUACA